Ictalurus punctatus (channel catfish) is the source of this 1994-nucleotide long non-coding RNA. The record is from Ensembl. Lineage: Eukaryota; Metazoa; Chordata; Actinopteri; Siluriformes; Ictaluridae.
GAGAGAGAGAGAGAGAGAGAGAGAGAGAGUAUAAUCUGCAUUUUUAGGGUUAAAAUUACGAAGGAACUUAAUGUUUCUCUCUAAGUGUAGCAGAUGAGCGCUUUGUCAGCUUAUCCUUCAAACCGUGGGCACAUUUCCUUUUACAGGAGAGCGCGCCGAUUUAACAUAUAACAUUGUCUUGAUUUGAUCAAUUCUACAACUUAAAACAGCGAAUUAAAAGCGUGAUCAAAAUCCCCUACAUCAUGCACAUACAUUCUGCGUCCAUGACCUCAGUUUAGUUUUUAACUUGUGACUUCAAAUUCGACAACUUUAAAUUGAUCCACCUGGAAGCUUCUAGAACUACACAUUUCCAAGAACCAGAACUUUUCAGAAUGGAAAAUUCUUGAACUAGGAGAUUAUAAAACUAGAAAAUUCUCCAAUAAGAAGAGUCUAGAACUGGAAGGUUCCAAGAACUAGAAGAUUCAUGAACUACAAGAUUCUAGAACUAGAAAAUUAUCCAACCGGAAGAUUAUACAACUAUACAAUUCGACAACUAGAAGAUUCCAGAACUAGAAGAUCCUUGAAAUACAAGAUUCUACAACUAGAUUAUAAAACUAAAAAAAAUGAUGUAUAAUUAGAAUAUUCUAGAACUAGACAUUUCCAAGAACAGGAAGAUUUUAGAACUAGAAGGUUCCAAGAAGAUUCGUGAACUACAAGAUUCUAGAACUAGGAAAUUAUCCAACCGGAAGAUUAUACAACUAUAUAAUUCCACAACUAGAAGAUUCCAGAACUAGAAGAUUCUACAACUAGAUUAUAAAAGUAAAAAAAAAAAAGAUGUAUAACUAGAAGAUUCUAGAACUAGACAUUUCCAAGAACUAGUAGAUUUUAGAACGAGAAGCUUCCAAGAACAUUCUUGAACUACAAGAUUCCACAGCUAGAACAUUCUAGAACUAGACAUUUCCAAGAACUGGAAGAUUCUUGAACUACAAGAUUCUACAACUAGUACUAGAGCAUUCUACUUCAGAAGAUUCCUGAACCACAAGUUUCUACAACUCGAACUAGAAGACUUGCAGCUAGAAGAUUCUUCAACUACAAGAUCGUAGAACCAGAAAAUCCUUACAACCUGGAAACUCCAGAACUACAAGAUUCUACAACCAGAACCCGAGGAUUCUAGAACUAGACGGCAUCAGGAGUACAAGACUAUAUAACGAUCCAAGAGCACGGCAAGAAGUCGAAGAUUCAAAGACGACUUCUUUUUUUCUCCUUCUUUUCUUUUCCCCCCAAAACAACAUCCGCAGAAUUUCCGAAAGUAAGACGAAGCUCGCGGAGACGUUCACAAAGGCGUCGGCUUCCUGUGCGUCCAUCUGCCGCUCUCUCCCACUCUCUCUCCUUCGUUUUCUCUUCUCUUCUCUCUCUCUCUCUCUUUCAUAGCAGGACAUUUGCUCUCACUUACAGGCGGCAGGGCACUUCCUCUCAAGGGCACGCAGAAGUGUGAGAGGAUGAUGCACUCACAGAGUCAGCGACAGAGAGGGAGAGAGAGUGUUCUGUCAACUCGGUAUAUCAUUGAUUGUCUCCACUUCAGCCUAAUUUAGACAUCAUGCACACACACACACACAUUGCGCACACACACACACACACACACACACUCUGGCAGCCCGAGAGGUUUGGACGUACGAAACAGAGUGCUAACGUCUCUGCAUCACACCUCCCUCAAGCCACGCACUAUAUCUCCGUGCAAUAUUUUCACUCCGGAAACCUGAUGCUCCGCAAGCCUCUCUUCGUCGGACGGGUCACAUGGGGGCACAGACGUUGCGUGGACGUUCCUGAACGAGUUCCCUCGUCGCUGUGUUGUUAUACAGCGUGAUAACAGCAUGGCUGUUCACGCACUCGCUGUGUUUAUUAAUGAGGUCUUUCCAACUGGGCCUUACGACCUACUGACACUCUCGCGCUCUUCUCUCUGAUAAUCUAAGCGAAAGCAGGAGAGGGGAAAAAUGUCUUGGCGAACUCAUUAGUCA